UGGCACCACAAGGUAUGUGAGCCCUGGCACCACAAAGGAGAAACAACAAAAAGAGACAAACAGGGCUGAUAAGAUCAGAAAAGAAACUUGUCAUAAGCAUGAUUCACAUUCUCAGUGAAAAAGGAAGGCGGAGCUUCUAUGAAGCACAACCAAGAAGAGGUUAUAAAGCAGAGAGCACAGGGGAUCUCAGUAGUGAGAUGGAAAUGCUUACAUAAUGGGAGUCACAAUGGGAACAGCACAAGAGACAGACAAUGUAGAACAGAUCGAGUCAAACAGAAACCAGUGGUCUAGAAGAUCAUGCUGUAAAAAUCUCCCAGAAUGUACCUGUGCCAUGUGAGAUGCACACCCACAUCCCCUGCAAGAAAGGAUUCAAGGUCCAGCUGCAUGGGGUGCGUGUACCUGAAAAUCUCCAGCUGUCAGCUUUAUAAAUGGCUACUGGGGCUCCUGAGUCAAAGUCAUGCUAUUCUCAGGGCACCUCCUGGCCUUUGACACAGCAAGGGUGAUAUGUGGGGGCUCCUCUAAUGAGCAGUCUUUGUCCUGGAGUGCCCUUCUGAGAUGGCAGGGAUUGUCAGAGAAAGAGACAAUGAAUGAAUGGUGGACUGGAGAACCAAAAUGUUGAUUUUACAUAUGCUGGAAAGGGCAAGGCUGCUCUGGGGAGGAAAAGAAGAAUCUAGAAGAGUGUGAGCAGGGAUUAAGAAUCACAUGAGCCAUGGUGGACUGGGAGAAAUACAAACAGGAUUGGAAGGUGACUGAAUAUGAAACCAACACAAUUGACACUCUGGACUUGUCUAGGUCACUCACAUCUAGGUUUGUUAGACAUUGCUUCAAUGGGCAUAGCCAAUGUCUAGCCCUUAGAAGAUCCCACUGGAUCCUGUAAGAGAGGAUAAGGGAAGGAAGUAGGGGUUUACGCUGUGGAUGAGAAGGACCUAUGGCUGGUGCUUGUAGACAUGUUCCCUUCUUUGAGGACCUUCUUAAACAUUUCACUGAAGUUUUAUUAUAAAAUGACUGCAUUGGGAAGACCCUAACGAUAGGGAAGAAACAGAUGAAAGAUCUCCUAUCUUGAGCUGACAUUCUGGUUGAAGAAAAAAAAAAAAAAACAGUUCCUAUUGAUAUUUUGAUCCAUCAGAACGGCAUCAAGCGCCAGAUUUACUGCACAGCUCUGAAGUUCCUUACAAGGCAAGGAGAAGAUCAAAGAACACUGACCUGUACAUACAGAACUAAAAGGAUAACAGAGAAAUAAAAACAAACGUACUCCAUGGUAUCACCUAUACCGGGAAUCUAAAGAAAAGUCAGCUCGUAGAAACAGGGACAAAAAGUGGCUGCCAAGACCUGGAAGAUCUUUUGGGGGUGGUGGUUUCAUGCAUGCCAUGUUGUGAGUUGUCACUGCCAGCUUCUCCUCCCUCUCUAUAUCAUCCACAACCUGGAACAAACGUUGCUAAGGACAAACUAUGCCCAACGAAAGAGCUCCAGCCAGCUAGAAGUAUGUGGACAAGAUCGCAACCUGAACUUUGGGAGCUGUUUUUAUUUCACAAGCUGCUGUUGUCUUAAGCACUUACGAUGUGGCCUGGAAAAGACAAAUAGUCUUCUGAAAAUAUCUCUACAGGAAGAGCCUUCUCCCCAGUACCUAUAAAACAUUCAUAACAC
This is a long non-coding RNA of Canis lupus familiaris (dog), 1644 nucleotides long. RefSeq lists it as uncharacterized. The transcript has 6 exons. The record is from RefSeq and is a predicted model, not a curated record. NCBI's taxonomy places the organism in Eukaryota, Metazoa, Chordata, Mammalia, Carnivora, Canidae.